UGAGGAAUAUUGGUCAAUGGACGAGAGUCUGAACCAGCCAAGUAGCGUGCAGGAUGACGGCCCUAUGGGUUGUAAACUGCUUUUGUUUGGGAAUAAUCGACAUUACGUGUAAUGUUUUGCAUGUACCAUUCGAAUAAGGACCGGCUAAUUCCGUGCCAGCAGCCGCGGUAAUACGGAAGGUCCAGGCGUCAUCCGGAUUUAUUGGGUUUAAAGGGAGCGUAGGCUGUUUGUUAAGCGUGUUGUGAAAUGUAAGAGCUCAACUUUUAGAUUGCAGCGCGAACUGGCAGACUUGAGUGCGCACAACGUAGGCGGAAUUCAUGGUGUAGCGGUGAAAUGCUUAGAUAUCAUGACGAACUCCGAUUGCGAAGGCAGCUUACGGGAGCGCAACUGACGCUAAAGCUCGAAGGUGCGGGUAUCGAACAGG
This 424-nucleotide ribosomal RNA is filed under the name Verrucomicrobiota bacterium. Its description in RNAcentral is "Verrucomicrobia bacterium partial 16S ribosomal RNA". It matches the Rfam family "Bacterial small subunit ribosomal RNA", at positions 355 to 776 of the family's 1533-position model. Lineage: Bacteria; Pseudomonadati; Verrucomicrobiota. The record is from RNAcentral.